GUGAAGAACGCAGCGAAAUGCGAUAAGUAGUGUGAAUUGCAGAAUUCAGUGAAUCAUCGAAUCUUUGAACGCACAUUGCGCCCCUUGGUAUCCCGAGGGGCAUGCCUGUUCGAGCGUCAUUUCACCACUCAAGCCUGGCUUGGUGUUGGGCGACGUCCUCUUUGGGGACGCGCCUCGAAACGCUCGGCGGCGUGGCACCGGCUUUAAGCGUAGCAGAAUCUUUCGCUUUGGAAGUCGGGGCCCCGUCUGCCGGAAGACCUGCUCGCAAGGUUGACCUCGGAUCAGGCAGGGAUACCCGCUGAACUUAAGCAUAUCAAUAAGCGGAGGA
Molecule: unclassified non-coding RNA, 328 nt
Filed under: soil metagenome
Description: partial contains 5.8S ribosomal RNA, internal transcribed spacer 2, and large subunit ribosomal RNA
Rfam family: 5.8S ribosomal RNA (bases 2-119)
Source: RNAcentral